This is a non-coding RNA of Paramuricea clavata, 346 nucleotides long. The record is from the annotation of a GenBank genome assembly. Lineage: Eukaryota; Metazoa; Cnidaria; Anthozoa; Malacalcyonacea; Plexauridae.
AAAUAAUUAUAUAAAAUAAAAAAGUUUCCUCAAUAAAGAUUACUACUGCUACCACACUUUAGUAUAAUUUCAGUAUUGAAAAAUGGCCUUUGAGCUUUCUGAUUGGCCACCUCAGCAGUAACUCUGAGGCAAUAAUUACUACUCCUGCCCCAGGGGCCGGUUAUUCAGAGCUGGGUUAGCUAACUUAGCUUAACCCUCGGUUAACCUAAAAUUCAAAGCAAACUUCCCGAUAGCUUGUCUAUAAAUUUGGAGAUAUUUCUUCAGAGAUCUUGUCUGGAUCGAUAGGAGUUUACUUCUCUGAAGUUUUGAAAUAAACAGACGUGCAGAAAUACACAAACUAAAACAG